This 393-nucleotide unclassified non-coding RNA is filed under the name Hevea brasiliensis (rubber tree). Lineage: Eukaryota; Viridiplantae; Streptophyta; Magnoliopsida; Malpighiales; Euphorbiaceae. The record is from RNAcentral.
GGUGCAGCAGCAGUGUAGAUCAGGUUGUCCCCUAGCUCUCAGUAAUCAGUAAUAAGAAUAUGAGUUGUCAAUGUUUUGUCUUGGCAGGAAUAUACAUGCAGAAUGCUAACUCUGCCAGGUCAAAGAGCAUACAGCACAGGCAGCUCCAGAGCUCCAAAAGCCACUCCAUAUGAACAUCACAGUUACUGCCGAAAAUAUAGCUCUUACUAAUCCAUCCAAUACUGCAUUUAACUCACGAAAAAUCUUGAAGUGCUAAACUCAGCUCCUGAGCAGACUUGGCAAUGGACCCUCCCCUUCUAGUAAGAGCAGGCAGCCAAUUUUUUACUUUUUCAAGCUCAACAAAGCAAAGGUUGUAGCGCUCCAUCCUUAGUUAUCAAUAAGGAAGAAAAACUU